RNAcentral lists this ribosomal RNA (449 nucleotides) under uncultured bacterium. Its description in RNAcentral is "partial 16S ribosomal RNA". It matches the Rfam family "Bacterial small subunit ribosomal RNA", at positions 354 to 796 of the family's 1533-position model. The record is from RNAcentral.
GUAGGGAAUCUUCCACAAUGGACGAAAGUCUGAUGGAGCAACGCCGCGUGGAGGAUAAGGUCUUCGGAUUGUAAACUCCUGUCAUGCGUGAACAAGGUUGCUUGGAUAAUACCUGAGCAAAUUGAUGGUAGCGCAAGAGGAAGAGACGGCUAACUCUGUGCCAGCAGCCGCGGUAAUACAGAGGUCUCAAGCGUUGUUCGGAAUCACUGGGCGUAAAGGGUGCGUAGGUGGCGUGGCAAGUCAGAUGUGAAAGCCCGGGGCUCAACCUCGGAACUGCAUCCGAUACUGCCAUGCUAGAGUACUGGAGGGGUGACUAGAAUUCUCGGUGUAGCAGUGAAAUGCGUAGAUAUCGAGAGGAAUACCAAAGGCGUAGGCAGGUCACUGGACAGUUACUGACACUGAGGCACGAAGGCCAGGGGAGCGAACGGGAUUAGAAACCCGUGUAGUCC